GGUCAAAAGCACGUGGACGUAGUUGUGCAAAAGUUUGGCGUUGGAAUUCUCAAAUCCAGUCAUUGUAUCUGUCAAGGUUGUCUCAAAGGCUUGUUUUCUACGGGUACCUCGGGAACCACUUGCGAUAGCAACUCUUGAGCUUCCUGCACCUCUUUGUGUAUUACUUGCACGGCUUACAUUCCCCGUUGUUGAGUUCUGGAAGAAGGAAUUCAGGUCGCAUCCCGGGUGAAUUCGGUUGAAGGACGUGAUUCAUCGUCAAUGUUAACACGAUACACCUCUUCAUUUUCUUGUGUUUUGGGAACUUGAGUUUGUUCCCUAUCACUUCCAUCUGUGUCUGAAUUCACAUGCUCUUCUUCAUUAUCUACACCCUCGUACAUCAUCUCUACUCUUCUUUGGUUUACAGAAUAUUGAGGUUGUGAAUGAACAUCAUAUAAUGAGAAACAACGUUCCAUCACUUCCCAAAAUUCUGGUGGUUUUCGAUGAAGUGAUUUUAUUAUUCUACAUAGGCCUGGGCAUGUGGGUAUUCGGGUCGGGUUCGGGUCGGGUCUUUCGGGUUCGGGUUUUUCUGGUUUAGAAAUUUUGGACCCGUUGGGUUAUAUGUAUAAUUUCGGGUCGGGUUCGGUUCGGGUUCACUUCGAGUCCAGGUAAUUCGGGUAUUGGUUAAAGAACCCAUAAAUAACCAAAACUAUUUCGGGUUUGAGUACUACUUACCCAAACUUUGUCCAAAUAUACCCAAACAUACAUAAAAGUACCCAUAAAACCCGAAAGAUCUGAAAUUAUAACAAGUUGUUCCUUAAGACAAUAAUAUAAAACAAGAAGUAAACCUUGUUUUGAGUUUGUUCCAUAAUUUAAAUCAUUAAACAAGUCAUAAAUUCAAGUUAUUAGUGCAUAUAUGUCCUCAUAUGUGUAUAUAUGUUCGGGUAAUAAAAAAUACUCACGGGUAUUGGGUUCGGUUCGGGUAAUACCCGAUACCCACAGUUAUUUGAAAACAGAACCCGAUCGGGUAAUCAGCCAGAACCGAAAUAGAACGGGUUUGGGUAUUUCGGAUCGGGUUCGGUUUGGUUCUUCGGGUUCGGGUAUUAUGCCCAGGCCUAAUUCUACACCCCUGUUAAAAAAAUUAUAAAUUUUUUAUACAUCUAUAUUAGUUAAACAAAUAUUUUUGGUAAUGAGAUAAAUAAUAAUUAAUUACCGCUUCAUGGUCUUUCCACCAUUGUUGAAAUGCAGAUAUCAUGGAUAUUGUCGGAUCAACUGAAAUGCCGGUGGACGUUUUCAUAAGAGCUUUCCACUUCUUAUAUUGAAUUCUUCAUUGAACUUUCGAGUGAUAAACUCUCUACCAUAAGGCGUCGGAUCUUUAAGAGAGUAAUUAUUCAUGGCUAGUGUUUCGGCAUACAAUUCAAUGAGUCUUCUUUUUCGUUGAUAAGUCCAUUUAAAAUUAGCUUCACUCUACGAUUUUAAGAACAUAUAUUUAUAAUUUAAAUAAAAAAAAAUAUGAAUACAUUAUAAAUUCUAAACUAAUUACAAUAAUAAAAAAAUUACCCGUGCUGUUAUUUGAUUAUGAGCACUUGUGUUGCCUUCCUCGAAAGAAUUUGUGUUUCCUCGACGAUUUGAUGCCAUUUCUACAAUCGACUGGUUAAAAAUAAGAAAAAUUUACUCAGAUGUUAUAGAAAAAUAUGUUUAUUAUUAGAAUAUCAUAUAUCUUUUAAAAAUUACUCAUAUGUUUUGAGCAUUUGUGUAAUUACAAUUAACACCCUUAUUAGUUUUUUUUAAUUAAUAAUUCUUAAUUCGUUUUUAAUUAAAAAUAAUAAAUAAAAAUUUGAUUAUCCAUGUCAUUAAUCCACAUCACCAAUCCCAUACUCCUCAAACUCACGUUAUUUCUCCUCUUCUCUUUUUUUUUGUCUCCAAAUCCAAGAAAAGCUUUUAGAUCUAAUAUUUUGCAACUAACUUGGGUACAACAUUGACAGAGAUCUUCAAAUUGCAGGAUUGGGCUGGAUCUUCUUAUACCUCACAGCCGCAACGCUUGCCAUAGGGUCCCAAAUCAAAAGCUUCGUCAGAUCUACUCGCAACCUCGCUAACGAAAAAAGUCAUCAAAAAUCAAAACCCAAAUCAAAGAGAUCUAUGGAAUUCUACAUGAUUCGUUACAGGUUUGAGUUGAAAUCAAGAAUAUCUACUCUUUUACUUUGAUUUUACAUGUCUCUCGUUUAAUCUUCCUCUCAAUCGAUCUAUUUGGAGACAUUUCUACUUCUAUCUAUGUUUUGAUUCAUACGGUUUAGUCUUCCUCCUAUGUAUCCCUCAAACAUAUUUUUACGAAUCUUAAUUUGAUUGUCGUUAUUUGACCAAUAAAUUUCAUAUUGUCUUCUCCAAAAAAAAUGUUGCUUUCCGAUCUGUAUUAUAAAUCAGCCGUAAAGUGAUGUAACUCAGCCGUAACAUGUAUUUUACACAACCUUUCGUCUUCCCUGAAUGAUAACUCAGCCGUGACAUGUAAUUUACUGAACCUUUCGUCUUCCCUGAAGCAUAUAAUUCAGCCGUAACAUAUAAUUUACACCCAUCUUUCGUCUUCCCUGAAGAAUAUAACUCAGCCGUGACAUGUAAAUUUACCGAACCUUUCGUCUUCCCUUAAACAUCUAACUCAGCCGUAAUGUAAUUUUACCGAACCUUUUCGUCGUCCCUGGAACAUAUAACUCAGCCGUGACAUGUAAAUUGACCAAACCUUUCGUCUUUCCUUAAGCAUAUAACUCAGCCGUAAUGUAAUUUUACCGAACCUUUCGUCUUCCCUGGAACAUAUAACUCAGCCGUGACAUGUAAAUUGACCAAACUUUUCGUCUUCCCUUAAGCAUAUAACUCAGCCGUGACAUGUAAAUUUGCCGCCAAACAAUAAGAGACGCAACAUUUCGUCUAACUUUAUCAUCGAGCACCAACUUCACAAGUUUUUCGUGCGUUGUUUCCGCAUCUUUCUGCACAACUCUACACCCUCUGUCAUCGGUGUUAAAUAUGUAUUUGUGUUUCUAUACCCAAUUACCGGAACCGGAUCAACCAUAUCGGGAGAAGAAUGAAAGAAAUUGAAGAAGAAUGAGGAAGACGAUGAGGAAUUGCAAGUUCCGGUGAUGUUAAAAACUCAGGUGAAGAAGACGUGUUGAAAAAAUUUGGCCCUAUUUUUUUGUCCUUUGAUGAUGAUGACAUGGAAUGUUGCAUCCACGUCAUUUUUUAAUUGAUGAAGUGGCAAGUAAGCCACCAAACGAAAAUGUAAAUCAGCUUAAUUAAACCAGCCAUCAAACAAAAUUUUAACUUAGCCGCAACAUGAAUACUAUUACAGUACAAUAAGUAAAAAACAAAAAAAUGGCAGCGAAAUUCAGCCGUUUACUGUCGUAACUCAACCAAAAAUAUUUAACUCAGCCGUGUCGUUUAAUAAGUCGGCUAUCAAUGGAUGCUAUUCUAGUAAUUAAUCUUUCGCUACUAAUUCAGCCGUAAUAUGGCCGAGUUUUCCGUUAAUCCAGCUCAUUACGGCUGAUUUAUGACACUCGAACAUAAAUCAGCUGUAACGUCAUCCCAUAACUAAGCCGUCUUUGAUAACUCAGCCAGCCGGAGAAAGUUAAGUCAGCCGUGUCGAAGCAAUAACUCAGCCAAAAAUUUGACAAAUCAACCAUCGGGUGAAAACUCAGCCGUAACUUAUGCUGGGUUAUGCUCGAAAGUCAGCCGUUUUAUCAUAACUCGGGCAGAUUUCAGUAAGUCAGACGUAACUCCAGGCUGGAUUAUACUCGUAAGUCAGCCGUUUGCUCAUAACUCAGCCAUUUUUCUUAAAUCAGCCGCAACAUACCGUAACUCAGCCGUCACUGCCGCUAUAUCGUUUGACGGCUGAGUUCAUUAAUACACGUCAGCGAUUUCUGACGUGGCGACGCGGCUUUGCUGAAGUGGCAGUGGCAUUCUUUGUAAUUACGUUUUUUCCUGUAACGUUUAACAGGGGCACGUUGGGUAUAAAAAAUAUACCCAAAAUAUGAUAGUAAUAUAAAAAAGAUCUGUAUGUUUCUAGUAAUUUCAUAUAAAAUGUUAUACAUCUGAGUAAAGUUCCCUAAAAAUAAAGUUAGCAUAUUGUAUUAUUUAAAAUUUUUAUAAUAACUUGUAACAUAAUAAAAUAGCAUAAUCCUUACAAACCAAUAUAUUUAAAUUAAACUAAUUUACUUAUAAAAUUGUGUGGUUUAUAAAAUUUAUCUAAAAUAUUGUAGUUCAUAUAGAAUAAUUUUUUUUUUUUAAUUUAACACAUUAGUAUUACAAAUCAAAAAAGUUUUUACAUUUAAACUGUUUUAUAACUAAAAUAAUAAAAAGGUGUUGUGAAUUUAAUUUAUUUGUUAUUUAAUAUCCCAUUUAAUAUUUUAUACAUUUAUUUAAUAAAUUUAUUAACAAUAUAUUUACUAGCUUAAAAAAUAAUAAUUGCUAAUAUAAGAUUCACUGUAAAAUUUAUAUCCUACUACUAUAUAAUAGUUACUUAAAUUUUAAAAAUAAAUCAAAAUGUAAGUUCAACUUUUUUUUAUAAUUUUAUAACUUAUUUUACAAAAUUAUAAGUAAUACAUUCAUAUUGCAAUUAAUGAGCAUUUCUAAAAUUAAUAAUCAUUUGUACGUAAUUUAAUUUUAAAUUUUCUAUUAUUUUUGAAAAAUUCAUAUUUCAAAAAAUAAGAAAUGUAUUUUGAUUUUAAUAAUCUAAAAUUACUUUAACUUCAAAUGUUCUUUUAAAUUUUUAUAACUCAUUUUAUAAAAAUCACAAGAAAUACAUAUAUUUGUGUUACUCACUUUUAAGCUAUGUUCAAAAGAAUAUAUGUUAUUAGCCAUAACUUUUUAUAAAGUUAUAUCACUUUUAAGCUAUUUUCAAAUCAGUAUUGUAGAUUAGAGGAAAUUUGUAAAAUCUCUCCAAAAUUUUAAAUAUUUUCAAAACUCUACUUUUUAAUAUUUGAAAACUAAUUUUUUGUAAAUAUAUCAUUUAUAAAAUUAAUCAUAACAGGUCUUAAUUUUUAUUUUCUAACUAUGAUAUAUAUCUUAAUCCUUUUGUUUUUAUUGUAUUUAAUUUUUUAUUUUAUAAUAUCUUCUUCAUCUUCAUAAUUUGCAAAAAAAAAAAAGUUAGGGAUGAAAAACAAACCUAAACUCCAAGCUAAUGCAGAGGAGAAAAAAAUCGUGCCCUUUUGUUUUUUUGAUUGUUUGUUCUUCAAGUACAUACCUUAUGAAGAUUUUUAAUAUAUUAGAACCCCUAACACUUAAGUAGGUAAAAAAAGAAGGUUGGUAUAUCACGUUUUUUUUUUGCUGAUUAUCAUUUCAUUUUUUUAUUAAUAAAAAAAAACAUAAAUGCACCGCAAACACGCCACACCACAUGUAGUUUUACUGUUCAAGGCAUUUCAAUCUUCUUUCUUCACAAAAUCUGGCCCGCUUAUACAGUAAGUAUUUUUUUUUUUUUUUUAAUUGGACUGUCUUUUUGUACCACCUUUUAUUAGAUGAAUUGUGACAAAACCAUAGUUCACCCACACUGCGGUUGACCCACCCUUAAUUCCACACACCAUUCGCAACCUUAGUCAUUUUGGAUUGUUGUGAUGUUAAACUUUUUUUCUCUGUCCAUGGACAUAUCCAUUUGGUCAUUGUCAUUUUUGGACUUGGUCAAUUUUGGACUUGGUCACUUUUGUGUUUGGUCAUUUUUGUUAACAAAAAAAAAGUGUCCAACUGGACAAGACCAUAUGGUCAUGGUCAAGACCAAUUGACAGCUCUAGCAGAGGGAGUCAAAACUUGGGAUUAUUAGACGCAAGGGCAUUUUCGUCACUGCACUAAUUCUCUUUUUGCUCUAUUAGAAGGAGAUUCUAUUAGACUCACCCUUUCUUUUUUCCGACCAAGUUCGUCAUCAGAACUUCUGUUUUUGUCAAAACGAUGGACAUAUGUACAGGCUGCUUCUAUAAAAGAAACUAUAACUCACUACACAUUGGUAUAGUUAUAGAGAUAAACUUCAUCAUCUUGAUGACUGUGUUCCUAUUUAGGGUUUUGUUUAUAGAAGCAGCCUUUGCAACAUAAUGAAAUGAGUUCCAAGAGUUCGGAGACGCCGAUAGAGUAGCCCACCUCGACCACAACGGUGAAGAUCCCUAGAACCAUUCGAAGCAGAUUUGGGGCGAGCUGGGGAAAAGCUAUAUUCAAAGUUUUGAGAUAUCGAACCAACACUUCAGGGAGUGGGAAGAACAGCCCGCAUCCUUUGAAAUAAAUUUCGUAAAAACAAAAGUAGUCUGGACGGUGGUUCUCUAGGAAUUCAGUCAGGUAAGGAUAGCCGAUAUCCCGCUGGAUCUCCUCCUGGAAUUCAGCACAAUCUUCCGAAGUUCGCAAGGGACUAGAGAGUACAGCCAGUGCGAAAGUGUGGACCGGUGAUGUCAUUCGGGUGAGUACAUAUUGACUGAGAAGAAGGGUUAGGAGAGGAAUCUCUCUCCAGCGAUUCAGCUCUAGGGGAGUUGGUUCUAGAAGGCAAAGAGCUCAUUCUCGGAUUGAUCGAAGAAAUCGAAGUAAGAAAAUAAAAAGAAGGGAUUCUUUCGCGAAAGAAGAGCCAAGGAGAUUUGUCCAGCGAAAGAUACAGAAGCAGUAAAGUAAAGAACAAUGAAAAAAAAAAGCUACCUUUUUAAGUUAGUGGCUGAGAAUGAAACCGCCUCGGUAAUCGUGGGAAAAGUGGGAGAGUUUUCUCCUCUUAAAUAAUAUUUUAUGGGACUCAAAUUAAUUAAUUUGACAGAUUUCAUCAUGAGUAAUCAUGAAAAUUCUUGAAAUCCGAAGGAUGUGAUCGUGGAGUCAGAGAUCGUCUCAAACAAUCUUUGCUAUUAAGUAAUUAAGUCCUCCGAACUAAAGAAACAGCUCGAAGAACUUAAGGGGCUAAUUGUUGAUGUCGGAUCCCGAACUUAGUGUUCAGAUGCACCCAAAGAAUGUCAUGUAGGACUAGAGUCAACAAAACAAUGGUCAACAGAAUACACCCCCGAACCGGAGUAAGUAUCCGAGGCAAAGAUCUUGAAGAAGUUGGCCGAAGCGGAAAAAAGCUCAAGAAGCAAGUAAUGGGCCGAGAGCUCGAAGGCCUAAGAAGGAUUCAAGAAAAUUCAAAGAGAAACGUUAUGGCAUUCAUUGGAGAAUCAAAAUGGACACAUUUAAGAGUAUUCAUUGCAUUAAUUAGCUAAUUAAUGUAAUUAUUUGUGUAUAAAUACGAGACACCCCCCUCCCCCCAAAUCUCUUCUAUUAGUAUAAAAUUUUUAGCAUAAAAUAUAGUAUUUCGUAAAAUUUAAAAGAUAAAUAUUCGAGCAUAAAUAUAAUAAGCGAUAUACAACAUCUAUAAUGUCGACGAUAAUGUUUCUUUGACAAAUAAAUAGUUUGAUAUAUAUCGUGUUGUAACAAAUAUCACUUAAAAAAUUCGCAAAAGAAUAAAAGAUAUCGACCACCAUCUAAAGAUCCAUUUAUCUUAUCUUUAAAAGAGUUUCUUUCUUAUUCAUAUUCUAUGAGGACAUUUUUAAAGAGUUUUUAAGUUAAUUAUCGAUUGUAGAUCUAAUUGUAGAUAUUAUUUAUGAUUAAAUGUUGAUACGAACAUAACAUCAUUUCCUAUAAAAUGCGAAUAUACCGAGCUUCAUGAACAUUAUUUAGUGUAAAUGUACAUAUAUAGCGAGCUUGUUUUACCCAUCGAAGCAAGUGCAGCGCGCCAUAAGAGAAUUCUCUCCUAAGUCAUCAAUUGUGUCUAUCUUCUCUCACUUUGCAUGAUUACAUGGCUAAACGGUUAAGUCCAAGUUUGAAUCUAUUUUUUUUUUGUCAUCCGUAAUUAAAUAGUGCUCAAAAGAGCCAUUUCUGUGUAAUGUUGUUUACAUAAGUGAUAUGAAGCGGUUCUGUACGAACUUUUCGUGCCAGAUUGUCCGCUUUUACAUUUGCACAACGAGAAAUUAAAGAUAGAGAGAAGUUGGAGAAGUUUGAAUCUAGUAAUCUGUUUAACAAUUUAUGUCAUUUAUUUCUCUAAAAACUCAUUCGUUUCACACAAUGAAUGAGAUCUCAAACAUUUUACCUAGUCACGUGCAUUUAUCUUUCUAAGUCUUAGAAAUUUAUUUUCAAAUACUUUUAAUUACCAAUUCUCUCGUCAUCUUCUAUGAUAAACUCAUUGCCUGUUUACAUCUACUUUCUUUUCACAUUCUAUUGACUCAUAUAUAAUAUAUAUUGGGCAGUGAAUUUGAUUUUUAAGACAUAUCAUAACUAUUUUCUUCUUAAUUCUUAUCUUUCAAUACUGAAUAUUUUGGAUUAAAAACAUUUGAUUUAAUUGAUGAAAUACCAAACUUGUUUUUCUUUUUGAUCAUGUUAUAAUGUUAUAUUUCAACUUGAGAAUAUGCUACACAAAUUACAUAUCACAUUUUUUCUCACAGCUUACAUAUCAUUUUUUAUAUAUUUUGUUGUAGAACUCAUGAAUAAUGUGAUCAUUGAUUAUUUAUUUUUUAAAGAUGGAUGACCAAUUAAAGAGUUUUUUAAUAAUUAAUGUGUGGUUGACAAAUAAAAAAAAAAGAUGGAUGAUAAUGUUUUAAAAUUUUCAAGAUUUGUUUUCAUAAUUUAACAAGAUAAAAUGUGAUUUUUACAAUAUCUUCGGCUUAAAUUAUCAAUUUUACGUUCAAUUUAAUAAUUUUUAUUUUUUUUCUUUAUGUAAAUAAAUAAAAAUAUGUAGUAUAUUGUUCUUAGAAACUAAUGUCUUAGUCAGAUAAAAAUAAUGUCUUAGAAACUAAUGUCUUAGAAAUAAAAAAUAUAUAGUAUAUGAUGCAUCCGGAAAAGUCGCCAGGCCCGAUGUUAUGACAGCCUUAUUUUAUCAAAAGGCUUGGAUUACAAUUAAAUCAGAUCUUCUUGUUUUGGUUAAUUCUUUUUUAGAGGAUGGAAAUUCUGACAAACGGUUAAAUACGACAACCAUUUGUCUGAUUCCAAAAACGGAAAGACCAAUGACGGAAUUACGGCCUAUAAGUCUAUGUAAUGUGGGUUAUAAAAUUAUCUCGAAGAUUCUUUGCCAAAGACUUAAAACGGUUUUACCAAAACUGAUUUCGGAAACAUAAUCGGCUUUUGUCAAAGAUUUCGGAUAAUAUACUUGUUGCACAAGAAAUGAUUUUAGGGGUUGAGAGCUAACCCGUCAUGUAAAGGAAAAUUCAUGGCCAUCAAAACUGAUAUGACUAAAGCUUAUGACAGGGUGGAAUGGAUUUUCGUUGAGAAGGUUCUAAGAAAAUUGGGUUUCUACAAGAAAUGGAUUAAUUGGAUAAUGUGGUGUAUUACAACAGUUCAAUAUAGAGUGUUCCUUAAUGGGCAACUUCGAGGACUAAUUGUACCAGAAAGGGGAUUACAACAAGGAGACCCGCUAUCUCCUUAUUUAUUCAGCCUUUGUACAGAGGUGUUAAUUGCGAAUAUUCGGAAAGCAGAAAAGGAAAAAUAAAUUACGGGUAUUAAGAUAGCGAAUGCAAGCCCUUCGGUUUCACUUUUGUUAUUCGCGGAUGAUAGUUUCUUAUUUUUUAAGGCAAACAAGGACCACUGUGAGGUAAUUUUGGGGAUUUUAAAGAAGUAUGAAGCGGUCUCAGGACAACAGAUUAAUUUUGUAAAGCCAUCGAUUCAGUUUGGACAUAAGGUAGAUGAGGAUAUCAAAGUAGAAAUCAAAUCUUCCUUUGGAAUCGCUAAUAUCGGUGGGAUGGGGUCGUAUCUCGGUUUGCCGGAGAGUUUGGAUGGAUCUAAAAAAAAAAUCUUCUCUUGUGUUAGAGAUAGAUUACAAACAAGAAUUAACGGAUGGUCGGCAAAAUUUUUAUCGAAAGGUGAGAAAGAAGUGAUGACUAAAUCGGUAGCUGCAGCAUUACCAACUUAUGUUAUGUCGUGCUUCAAACUGCCAAAAACAAUCACUUCUAAACUUCCUAGUGCGGUUGCUAAAUUUUGGUGGAGUUCAAAUGGGGAUUCCAAAGGUAUGCACUGGAUGGCUUGGAACAGGUUGUGCAAUAGCAAAUCGGAAGAAGAGUUAGGUUUUCGAAAUGUUGACGAUUUUAAUUCAGCCCUAUUAGCCAAACAAUUAUGGCGGUUAAUUACGGUCUAGAUUCUCUUUUCGCGAAGGUGUUUAGAGGGCGGUAUUUUCAGAAAUCCAAUCCUUUGGAAAAUUUAAAAUCAUACUCCCCAUCAUAUGGAUGGCGCAGUAUCUGUUCAGCUAGAUCUCUGGUUAAUAAAAGACUUGUUAAAAGAGUCGGAUCGGGGACAUCCAUCUCAGUUUUGGAGGAUCCCUGGAUUCCAGCUCAAUUCCCGAGACCAACAAAGAGUAAUGGUUCACUUGUUGAUCCAUUGCUAAAAGUUAACAAUCUUAUAGAUAGGCGGUCAAAUUUCUGGAAUAUUGCUCUCUUAGAAGAGAUCUUUGAUCAAGAAGAUGUCGCCCUAAUAAGUGCCCUACCUGUGGGUGCGCCAGCUAGAGAAGAUACAUUGGGUUGGUAUUUUACAAAAUCCGGAAAAUAUACAGUCAAAUCAGGAUAUAAUACCACAAUGUUAGAAAAGUUGGAGACCAAUUUAUCUUUGAUUGGCCCGGACAUCAAACCGUUAAAAUCACAUUCUUGGCAAGUGCAAUGUCCACCUAAGAUAAGUCAUUUCUUGUGGUAAAUCUUAACGGGUUGUGUACCAGUUACGGAAAAUUUAUGGAGAAGAGGUAUUUAUUGUGACAAAGGAUGUGCCAGAUAUGGCGAACCAGUGAAAAAAAUCAAUCAUACACUCUUUCAGUGCCACCCGGCACGACAGGUUUGGGCACUUUCCCAGAUUCCUACGGCAAUGGAAAUUUUUCCCACAAAGUCUAUUUUGCGAAUUUGGAUCACUUAUUUUGGAGAAUACCUUCAGAAUUUGAUUCUUCAGCUUUUCAAUGGAUUAUCUGAUAUAUUUGGAAAGCAAAAAAUGAAAAAAUCUUUGAAAAUAUUGAUAAAGAUCCGUUAGAGGUAUUACGGUUAGCGGAAAAAUAAGCACAAUUGUGGCAGUCAGCCCAAAUCGAGUUUUAUCAUGAAACUAUUGGUACUGUGGAAUUGGCAACUCGUUAUCGAGUGGGGGAUGCUUCACUUGAUUCGAAUUAUUUUGGAUGUCGUUGCUUUGUUGAUGGGUCAUGGAAAGAAAGUGAUAAAUUCUCUGGUACAGGAUGGUUCUGUACAUCUUCAAACGGAGAGUCGCCAACCAUGGGAGCUGCCAACCUCCGUAAAAGUCUAUCUCCAUUACAUACAGAAUUCGAGGCUCUUCUCUGGGCGAUGAAGUGUAUGAUUGGUGCAGAUAAUCAAGACAUAGCUUUCAUUACAUACUGUUCUGAUCUGGUGAAGAUGGUGUCUUCUCCAACCGAAUCGCCGGCGUUUUUAGUGUAUUUGGAAGAAUUCCAAAGUGAUAAGGAAGAAUUCUCAACCUUCUCUUUAUCUUUAAUUUCUGGUAAUGCUAAUGUAAAAGCGGAUAAUCUGGCAUAAAAAGUUUGUACAGACCAGCUUCAUAUCACAUAUGUAAACAACAUUCCUCAGAAAUAGCUCUUUUGGGCUCUAAUUAAUUUUGGAUGACAAAAAAAAACAAAAAAAAACUAAUGUCUUAGUUUAAAUUUAAUCUUCUUCUUUAUAAUUUUACAUAUGGAAUUGCAUAAAUUUAGUUUUAUACUUCUUUUCACCAUGCAUUUAAAUUACUUUCAUUCUAAAACUCACUAACACAUUUAAAAAUUUGAAGUAUGGUCAUUUUUAAGUUUUAUCUAAUAAAAGUUUAAUUAUAUUAUUACUACUAAUAAAAUUUUAAUAAUAUUAUAUUUAUUAUAUUAACAUCUCAUUUAUUUUACAUAAUUCGGUUUUUAUUUAUUUUAAUUUUUUAUUAAUUAUAAGUCACACAAAUAUGCAAUAAAUGAAUGUUUUAAUUUUUUUAAUCUUAUAAUAAAUUGUGUUGCUUAGGUAGAUCCUUAGGUGGAUUGGCUAGAUGGAGAGAAGACUCUGCUAUUAUAUAUAUAUAUAUAUAUAUAUAUAUAGAUUUUCUCUCUACAUUUUUGUCGACAUUUAAGUCUAUCUCCAUUAUAUACAGAAAUUCGAGGCUCUUCUCUGGACGAUGAAGUGUAUGAUUGGUGCAGAUAAUCAGUUUGUGAAUCCGACAUCAACAGAGUUCAUCAAAUGAUGGUUAAACGAUUCCCAUUUGAUGCAGGACGGUUUUUAGUGAGAUACUUGGGGUCCCUCUUGUAACUAAGAGCUUAACAGCAACUGAUUAUGCUCCCCUACUUGAGCAUAUUAAAAAACGGAUCAAGUCAUGGACGACUAGAUUUCUAUCAUAUGCGGGAAGGUUGAAUUUGAUAAAUUUUGUUCUAUGGAGUAUUUCAAACUUUUGGCUAGCUGCUUUCAAAGUUCCACGGGAAUGUAUUCAAGAAAUAGAAAAAAGGUGUUCCACUUUCUUUUGGUUGGGGCAAGUUUUAAAUCCGCGAAAAGCUAAAGUUUCAUGGCAUAAGUGUGUAAGCCAAAACAAGAGGGAGGCCUAGGAUUGAGAUCUCUUAAAGAAGCUAAUGAUGUUUGUUGUCUAAAACUGAUAUGGAGACUAGUCUCACAUGAUUCAUCGCUUUGGGUAAAAUGGAUCACCACAUAUCUACUUUAACAGGAAUCAUUAUGGAGUGUCCGAGAAAACAAAAGUUUAGGGUCGUGAAUAUGGAGAAAUUUUUUGAAACAAAGGGUAAUAUAAUGGCUAAAAAUUUCUAUAAUAAAGAUGUCUGAAAUGGCUCAUCGACAACAUUCUAGUUUGACAACUGGUCACAUCUAGGUUGUCUCAUGGAUAUAACAGGAUGUAGGGGUUAUAGACUCGGGAAUUGGAAAGAAUGGUUUAGUGGUUAAAGCUUGGAGCUCUCAGCGAAGACGGAUACACCGUGUUCAAAGUCUGAACUUGGUAGAAAAUGAGUUAGAACUUAGUGACAAUGAAGAAAUGUGAAUGAGAGAGACAUCGUCUUAUGGAGAGGAGAAGGGGACUUGUACACAGCAUCUUUCUCGAGUAAAGAUACUUGGAAUCAUACUCGAACAACAUCAAAUCAAGUAGCUAGGCAUAAGGGAGUAUGGUUUAUACACACAACGCCAAAAUACUCCUUUUAUACUUGGUUAGCGAUGUGAAAUCGUUUAUCAAUAUGUGAUCGUACGCUCAGUUGAAAUGCAGGAACAAUGUCUACAUAUGUCUUGUUAAAAGACUAUUUGUUUUUUAUGUGCAGCUAGUCCUCGGACAUAUGAGUUGCACUCACGCAACGCCUACUCCAAAGCCAAUUCUCAAAGGACUAGCAAGAAGUGAUCGAUUGCAUCUUGACCACUCAGCUAAUUAAUCUGAUCCAAACGCUCCAAACUCGCUAUGCUUUCCAAAUAUUGGUACACGCGAACUAGAGAGAACGCAACACGAGAAGACACGGGGAGAAACUCACUCAAGUGACUAGAAUCAUCAACUUGAUCGAUGAACAAAUUUGAAAUCAAUUUUCAGCAAUUCAAAGAUUAGGAGACAGGAAAUAGGAACCCUGCUUACAAGCUUGGUUAUACGAGUGUUAGGUGUAAAUUUUUAUCUAGAUAAUAAUUCAAAAUCAAAAACUGAAUCAUUUGAUGGACAAAAUGUUAUUUUUUCUUAAAUUAAUUUAACAUUAAAUUCCAAGAAAAAUGAUUGAACGUGAUGGAUUUAUAUUAUUUAUCGUAGUUGGGCUUUUUGGACCUUUUAUUAUUGUUAUAGUUGGGCAUAAUUGGACAUUUUAAUACUAGACCUUGUUGAGCUUAUUCUUGUUGGGUUUAAAUCAUUAGCCCCAAGUAAGUUGAGUUUAAAUCUACUAGUAAACAUUCUGAACCUUUUUUUAAUUGGUAAAAAGGUUCUAAAAGAUGAAAAUAUUAGGCUGGGCAUAAUACCCGAACCCGAAGAACCGAACCAAACCCGACCCAAAAUACUCGAACCCAUUCUACUUCGGUUCCGGCUAAUUACCCGAUCGGGUUCUGUUUUCAAAUAACUGUGGGUAUCGGGUAUUACCCGAACCGAACCCGAUACCCGUGAGUACUUUUUAUUACCCGAACAUAUAUACACAUAUGAGGACAUAUAUGCACUAAUAACUUGAAUUUGUGACUUGUUUAAUGAUUUAAGUUAUGAAAAAAACUCAAAACAAGGUUUACUUCUUGUUUUAUAUUAUUGUCUUAAGGAACAACUUGUUAUAAUUUCAGAUCUUUCGGGUUUUAUGGGUACUUUUAUGUAUGUUUGGGUAUAUUUGGACAAAGUUUGGGUAAGUAGUACUCAAACCCGAAAUAGUUUUGGUUAUUUAUGGGUUCUUUAACCAAUACCCGAAUUACUCGGACCCGAAGUGAACUCGAACCGAACCCGACCCGAAAUUGUACAUAUAACCCAACGGAUCCAAAAUUUCUAAAUCCGAAAAACCCGAACCCGAAAGACCCGACCCGAACCCGACCCGAAUACCCACAUGCCCAGGCCUAGAAAAUAUGAAGCAAUUUGCAAUGUUUCAUUAUUCCUCAAAAGCCUGGACAUUUAACUAACUAGAAAUGGACCCACGCGUUGCGUGGGUUUAUUGCGUGAGUUUAGCAAUAUAUAUUUAAUUUUUUUAUAGUUUUGUAAAUUAUAUUAUUUAAAUAUUUUUAAUUACAAUACUAUUUGAAAACUAUAUGUAAUUCUAUUGAUAAAAAGGCGGUUAUAUAAAUAUAAUAGAAAUAUUAUAAAUGAUAAUUGUAUAGAUUUAUACGUUUAUUUAUAAUAUACUACAUAUAUUAAACAUUUUUUUUUCUUUUGCAUUUGACUUAGUAUCCUAUGACCGUUCAUUAUAUAUAUAUAUAUAUAUAUAUAUUUUAGUACAUGAAUUCUUAUGCAUAACAUUUUCUUCUAUAAUUCUAGAAACUCAAGUGUGCUAUUUUAAAUGUGGUUUAUCUUUUCCAAAUUUAUAUCUAUUGUAUUUAGAAGCAAAAAUAAAAGAUAUAUAUAUGGUCCGCUCCGGAACAUCCCUUUGUGAAGUGUAAUUUUGAUUAGGGCUGGGCCGGGUCCGGAUUUUCGGCUUUUUUAGGGAAUCUGGAUCCGCCUUUUCCAUUAUCCAUUAUCCAUUAUCAUUUGAAUUCUAGAUGGCAUCAAUUUUUUAAGAGUGAUAUAGAUCGUCGUGAUCUUGUAAGUUCCUAGAUGCUUCUUGUGAAAAAUGCUAUCUGAUUUGUUUUCAUUUUAGAUUAGGUUCAAAUUUCUUGAUAGAUCUUUUCUUUAAUUUUUUCAAUGGCUUGAAAGGUCACUUGUGGAUGUGCAGCUGGAGUUGCUGCCGCUUUUAGAGGAGGUCAAAUCAUGGUGGGUUCCUUCUCUCACAUCCUAUGUCCAAAGUGGCUGAAUUUACUAUGUUCUUAGAAACAACAAUGGAGGAACAUUUGUUGUCUAUGCUGUAACAUCCUUAGCAACUAGUGUCACUUGACAGCUUUGCACUGGUUUUUUACACUGUUCUGGAUUUUAACAGUGUUUAAAAGAUGGGUGUCUGGUUCUGUCCUAUUUUUCAGCACGAAACAAGUUUUGAGAUUUGAGUUGUCAAAAUUAUCUUUGUUUUUCAGGUUUUUUUGGAGGCAGAGAAAGGGUACAGAUCGUUGAUAAAGAUUGUCAUUGCGUUGGGUGAAGACCCUCCACGUGUUGGUGUUCAUUGCGUUGGGUAAAGACCAGGUUUAGUCAUUGCGUUACCGUAGUUGAAUUUUUUUUUUAUUCCUAGUCUAAAAAUCAUUCAUCCAGUUUCCCUUCUGUCAGAUUUUUCUGUUAGGCUAACAUAUGGAGAGAGUUCACCUUCUUUCAUAUAUAUGGGCUAUAUGUCUAUAAAAUACAUAUGAUCGCCACGUCAGCAUUUUAUGCUCUUCUGGAGAUGCCACAUCAGCUUUCUUUCCAUCCAAUCAAAACAUUUCAUUAAUAUGAGUCAGCUUUUAUUUUUUACACAUCAGCUUCUAAUUAUUAAUGUCAAAUGGGGAAAACACAAUAGCCCAUGAGGGAUGGCCCAUAUGAAUUUGAAAAUCUAUUUCACAAGUUAAUAAUAUAUUUAUUAUUUAAUUAUAUAUAUUAUUUAAUUUUACAUAUUGAUUUUUACUAAUACUAACUUAUUUUGUUAUUUUAUGUUUUUUUCCAUGAAAUUAUUUAUUGGUUUUAUAUACUACAAAGUUUUUUCGCUAAUUUUUGUAAUCUUAACUCAAAAUAUGAGUGGAUAAUAGUAUAGUGGAUUAGCUAAUGGUUUAAGUAAGUUUUUCUCUUAAUUUUUUAAUCUAUAUAUGACACUGAGGGUGAAGAGUACGUAAGAUCAUCAAAUUUUGGAUGUUCUAUAAUCCUAACAUUACCAUCUAUAAAAUUGGUUUAGGAAAGAUUGUUUACGGAUUGUGUGAGUGAUGCAAUGAUGAGUAUGUUGGUUGAAAAUGUAUUUUAAUACUAAGAUUGUUUACGGCUUUAAAUUUUCCAUUAUCCGGAUCCGGAUCCGGAUCCGCUUUUUCAUUAUCCGGAUCCAGAUCUGCCCCACCCGGAUAUCCGGUUUUUCGGAGCGGAUCCCGGAUCGGAUCCCGGAUAAUUGGUCUCAGGGCUAAUUUUGAUGCCAGUUUCAGCCAAAUCACUAUGCAAGCUCGUGGAGGAUGGAUUAUACGGGAUCAUCACGGUACUGCAAAAGCAUGGGGAUCUUUGGAUUUGAAUGGUGCAGCUUCUCCGUUGAUGGCCGAAGCAAAAGCACUUCUGACAGCGAUGCAUCAAGCAUGGUUAAGAGGAUUCACUCAAGUAAUCUUGGAGGGAAACUGUGAAGUAUUGAUCAACUUAAUCAAUGGAAAUUCCAGUCAUAGUGAAGUAGAGAAUCUGCUGCAAGACAUUGGUUUUUGGAGAGGAAAGUUUAGUGAUAUAAGUUUCAAUUUUGUAAAACGAUCUUGUAAUUGUGUAGCUGAUAGUUUAGCCAAAUUUGUUUGUCCAAUGUCGUUUUUCCUUCCGGAUUCAUUGAUUCCGCCAAUAUGGCUUAAGGAACUGCUGUGUAACGAUUUGUUAACUUAAUAAAAUAAGUUCUUGACGAAAAUAUAUAUUUUUUAUUUUAUAUAUUGGCUUUCUCUUUAGGAAUUUAUCUUUCUGAGACUAAUUUUGUCACUCAGUUCCGAUAUUUUCAUAUUCUAUUAUUUUAAUUUUAAUUUUUUGUUUGUAUCUUAUUAAAUCCAAUGUUGCAAUUGUGUUAUUUCUACUUAUUUUCGAUAUUUUAAAAAUAAUCUUUUUAUAUUUUUAAUAAGUGCAUAAUGUUUGUACUACAAUCAAAUGCAUUUAUACAUUUACUUAUAUAAAAUUUUAUAUUAUAUUUAUGAUAAGCUAAAAAUUAAUAGUAUAUAUAAUUAUAUUUUAGUUUUGUUUUCAAUUAUUAUACACGAUACUAUUUAGCUAUAUUUUAACAUUUUGUUUACUGUCAUUUAUAAACUAAUCAACUAUUAUUUUAAUUAGUAAAUUGUCAUAAGAUUCAUCACUAAUUCACUAUAUAUUUUUUGAAAGCUAAAAACUGUAUGUCUUUCCAACUUUUAUACAAUUUUUAGAAAUACCCAACAUAUUGAUUUUUAAAUAUGUCAUGAUUCAUUACUAUAUUUUUUUUUGAAAGCUAAUAAAUGUAUGAUCUUUCAACUUUCAUACAAUUUCAAAAAUAUCCAUCAUAUUAAUUUUUAAUAUAUCAAUUAUAAAACUGAAAUGUUUAUAAAAUUUUUAAUAUGAUUAAUCUUAAACAUUUUCUCGCUAAAAUUCAAAUUAUAUUUUUAGGUAUAAAUUUAUAUUUCUUUGCUUUUUACAUAUAAUAUUAAUUCAUUUGUAUUUAACUUAAAUAUUUUAUAAUUAUAAGUAACAAUAAAUAAAAAUAAGUAUGUAUUGAAUGAACAUUUUAAAUAAAUUAUAUUUUUUAAUUUUUAAUUAGAUGCAUGCUUAGGUGGAUGAUGAUGUGGAUAGCCUAGAUGGAGAGAGGACUCUCCCAUUAUAUAUAUAGAUUUAAGUACUCGGACCGGGUUCAAAGUCAGGCCCAUCGGAUUUAGGUGUUAUGAUUCUAAACAUUUAAAUCUCAUUCGGAUAUUUUAAAUUUUUGUUUUAAAAGAUGAAAAUAUGAAGCAUUUUGCAACGUUUCAUUAUUCCUCAUAGACCUGGACAUUUGACUAUUUGAGUACUCGGGUCGGAUUCAGGUUGGGCCAAUCCGGAUUCAGAUUUUUAUUUUGAGUCUUGACAUUUAAGCCCCAUUUUAGUAAUUAAAUUUUUGGUUCGAUUAUGAUUUGGAUUCGGGUAUAUUCUCGUCUUUAUAUUGAGCAGUGUUCUAAAAAGCGGUCUAGGCAGUCGCCUAGACCCCGACUAGGCGCUAGGCUCUCAUGGGACGCCUAGAUAACUGCUUUGACCGCCUAAAAUAUCAUAGAUCUUGUUUAAUGUUUUUUUUUAAUCUCAAUUAGAGUUUUAUUUAUAUAUAUAUAUAUAUAUAUAUAUAUAUAUAUAUAUAGUUAUAAAUAUUUAUAUAUUGUUAAUAUAAAUAUAAAUAAAUGUUUUAUCUAGUUUUUGUUUAUAAUUUCAUAAUUUUUAGUUUUAUAUAGAUAUUUUAUAUAACUUUUAUAUAUAAUAUCAUAUUUAUAAUAUUUUAUGUUAUAAACGUCUAAACCGCCUAAAAAAUCGCCUAGACCCCGAUUAGACGUUCUAGGAGCUAGACACUGGAUCACCGCCCGCUUAGCGCCUAGCGCUUUCUUGAACACUGAUAUUGAGAAGCGGUGGGAAUCAGAAAUAUUUACGAGUGUGGUUUGGAUGGAUACUUUGUAUCCUGAUCUAUCCAAAAAGUAUUUGAAUAGACCGAAAGUAUCCAAAAUACCCAAAAAAAUGGUAGUUUAUAUCACCGAAAUAUAUCCACAUCUAUCCAAACUACCUGAAGAUAUCCAAAAUACCUAAAAAAAUAGUAUUUGUAUCACUCAAAUUCUCCGAGAGUAUUUGCAAUAUCCGAAAGUUGUAGUAAUUUUGGGUAUUUGGGUUAAUUAUUAUAAGUAUAAAUAUGACUGAUAUAUUCUUAUAUUUUAUGGCAUGUUCAGAUAUCCAUUCGGUUAUCGAUUUGGUUUGGAUCCAGUACUAGUUCGUCGAGUCUAGAGGUUUAGGUCAUAUUCUGGUAUUUUGUCUCUUCCGGUUCCGGUUCCGGUUUUCUUUUUUGGAUCAUCAGUUCCAGUUACUUUUCUACAAGUGAAGAUUAAUAUAAUUUUACCCAUAUGUGAGGCUUUUUCAGAAGCUAAUAGAAUGGCCAAUGUGAGGCUGAGAGUUAGCCUUCAAUUUUAACAUUGGACGUCAUACAUGAGACUUGAGAGUUAGCCAUCAACUUUAAUUUUGGAAAUCAUACAUAAAAGUGCGAUAGGUGAUUUCACUCUUAGGUAUUUCGAUACAUAUGUUUUGAAAGUUUGAGAACCUUGAUAAAGUGGAAAAAAACUGAAAUAAGCUUAGUGUACAUAAGGGUGAAAGGGUGAAACUCCCAACCCUGAGUUCGAUCCUUUCUGGAAACAAAAACACAUUUGUUUGGGAAGUCUGUCAGUUGGGCCUUGGCCCAAUUGGUUUACCUAGUAGUCAGAAAUGCAGGCAGCCUGACUACCUCCUGUCAUUAGUCGGAAGGCACUCUAAACUCGGAUCAGGCAGUGUCGUAGCCCAAUUCUGGAUCUCAUGGAUCUCAUAAAUCUCAUGGCCCGUUCGACCCGAGUCCGCUCGAAGAUCAUGGUGUCCGUUGAAUCGUUGAACCGUUGAACCGUUGAACCGCGGGAAUAGUCCACUCUGUAGCACUUCGAUACGUUCCUACCGGAUCUGCCGAUAGGGUUUAUAAAAAAAAAAAAAAAGGGACAAUUCAUAAAGAAAUAAGCUUAAAAGCAAUACAAUAUCAGUGGAGCGCAUGCAUAAAAAUCACAAUUUUUCUUCACCUACUAAUUUGUCUUAAGUUGACAAAAGUUGCUUUUGUCAAAAUAAAAUAAAAAGCUUAGCGAAAGUUAAUUGCCAAAACAACCAUGUCCGUUACUUCGUGUGUAAAGAUUUGAUUCAAUCAAUAAAAGGUUAAUGGACUUUUUAAACCUAACUUCAUCGACGUCAUAAUUGUAAAAAUUUACAAACGUUGUUAUAUCCUAUAUAGUUCUUCAAAGACGAAUCAAACCACAUUAGUUUAAAUUGUGUGAAACCUUUUGAAAUCUUAAAUAUAUUAUUUAUAUGUAAAAGGUUUGAACAAUAGUUAAACUAUAUAAAGACUCAUAUAUAAUUCCAGACAUCAAUAAUUAAUCAAUGGUUAAAAUAUUUUCAAGAUUUUGUACUAGUUGAAGACUAAUUAGUUUUCAAAAUUCUAAUUUAGAAUUGUGUAAUUAUUCUAAAUUUUAGUGAUAUGUUUUUACAAGAAAAAUAUUACAAAACAUUAUUUUAUGAUAAAAACAAUUUAAUUUAACCAAGAACGAUAUGAAAUAUAUUGAUUAAGAAGGUGAAGUUGGUAAAUUACAAAAAUGUUUUUGCAUACAAAACCGGUUGUAAAAUAGUAAAUAAGUGGAGAUUUUUUUGCUAGUAAUUUUAAACUAAGAGCUUGAUAUCAUGUAAAAUAGCAGAAUGUCAUCGGUUAACGUACGAUCUUAUUUGAUUUAAAGAGCACAUACUUUAUGUUAUUUGUUUAAAGCACUUGCUGUAAAUGACUUAAAUUGUUUAUAAUUUUUUCUAUCCAUCAUCUUUUGCAAAUUAAUGUCAACAUCUAGUGUAUAUAUUCUAACGAUAGGUAAAAAGAUGAAGAGUAGAAACCUGAACGAUAGGUAAAAUCUUCUAUUCUUUUUUUCUUUUUUUUCUGUCAACUGGUCAGCCAAUUAAAAUCUAUUGAAACACAAUCUCAUAUUCAGGCCUUUAAAUUAGCAACUAUUAAUUGAAUUACGACUAUUAAGUAUGAUGGGUAAUACAUUUUCCCCACUGUUUCUAGUGAACUAGAAUUUUUUUUUUGAAACUAUAAACAUAUGCAAAAAAUUGGUAUUUUAGGUUGAUAUAUAUAAUAUUUUUGGACCAAUAUAUAUUGAGUUGGAAUUUUUUUUUGCGUUGAAAUAUAUAUAUUGUUUUAAUUGGUAUUUUAGCUUUGAAAUAUAUUAUGAAUGAGAAUAAAUAGUUUUCUCACAUAUUCAAAGUUAGUAUCACCUUUGAGUUGGAAUCAUGCGCUUAUACAAAAGUGAUUCAUGGUGACUUCAACGUAAAAUACCAAUUUUGCAUAGAUUGGGUAAUGCCUAUAUAUCCACCAUAUGAAUAUUUAAUAUUGUAGAUGUUGCUCGAAUGCUAUUAUGGACGAGCGCGGUUCCCUCAUUUAUUAUUUGAAAUAUAGAUAUUGCUCCAUUGAAGAAUAUUGGGUAUUGACAAAAUAUAUACAUUGGAUAAUGUAUUAAUUUUUAACGGAAACGAAGGUGACACGUACAUGUACUCAAUCAACAAGAUGAGUUAUUCAUAAUGUAAUGAAAUGGGACAUAUCAAAACUUGAGUGGUAGAGUUGCAAACAGUUUGAAAGCAACCCUCCUUCUAACUAAAUCUGAUAUAGCUCCACUUUAUCGGUCGUCCUUAUAGAACAUGUGGUUGCAAACUUAGUACAUAUAGAGUUUUCGAUAAUUUUAUUCAUUCACCACAAAUAUAAUUAUACAAGUUUCAUAUGUCAUAGUGAUAAUCUUCUAAACUUUACCUUAAAGUAUAAUUGUUCACAUAUUAGCUUCCCGCAUAACCAACAUGAAGAAUAGGUUAGACAGUACUAAAUUUCCGUAUAUAUGCGUCAGUAGAUUGGUGUAAUGAUACUUCUCGUACUCUCUUCUUUGGAGAUAUGCUUGUUUCAUUUUCUCAUCAUUUAUUUAUGCGCAAAAUACCCUGAACUACCAUUAGCUUAUACUUGAUUUUAUUUUUGUUAUAAUUGAUUGUUGCCGGAGAUCACCUCUUAAAUAGUGAGGUAAGAAACUACCUAGUAGCCGAAGUUUAUCCUCAAUAGUAACUAACUAUUAACUCCUAAAUAAUAUAUAAUCCCGAUAGUAUAAUCAUCGGCUAAUAUUUUAGUGUUAUAUAGUCUCAAUGAUUUUAUAUAGUAACAGGUGGUGCUUUUAAAUUUGUAUUUUAAAACUAAAACUCCCCAUCGCAUCAACAAUUCCACUUCAACUUUGUGCCAGAUGUCUCGGCAACAAAUAGGAAUUUACAUGAAUGUCAUUUUCAUUGUAUUUUUGUAUGGGUUUAAUUUCUUUACAUAUUAUUGUCAAUUCAUUUAAUUUCUAAAUGCCGCUGACCCCAAUCACAAACUUGAAUCAAUGUCUGCUGUUGAGACAUGACAAUACUGAACUGCCAUGUGUCCUCCAAAUUUGAUAAAUCCCUCCUCAAUUAUUGACACAUUACUUAAUAUUUACUUAUUUAGUGAAAAAUGAAAAUGUAUGGUUUGCAUUUAAUGAUUUGUUAAACAUUUUUUUUACUGUUCCUUUUACUCUGUUCGGAAAGAAAUUUUUUAGUUUUCUUUACACGUCAAGCUUCACAAAUUCCUCCGCACCACACAUGAAAACCUGGGGUUACGGAUGUGGAAAAUGUUAAAAGUAACCUAAUAUAAAACAUGUGAUAUAUUACGGAUUUUACCAAUUUUAGCCGUGAUAUAUGUGUCAGUUUUAGAGUCUUUUUGUUGUAUGGUUUGCAUUUAAUGAUUUGUUAAACAUUUUUUUUACUGUUCCUUUUACUCUGUUCGGAAAGAAAUUUUUUAGUUUUCUUUACACGUCAAGCUUCACAAAUUCCUCCGCGCCACACAUGAAAACCUGGGGUUACGGAUGUGGAAAAUGUUAAAAGUAACCUAAUAUAAAACAUGUGAUAUAUUACGGAUUUUACCAAUUUUAGCCGUGAUAUAUGUGUCAGUUUUAGAGUCUUUUUGUUGUUUCUAGAGUUUUUUGAGUAUUUUCAGGUUUUUACACGUUCGGAACAAAUCUGGAGAUAAGGAACCAUUCUGGAGCUAAACCGGAGAUUUAGAGCUGAAAAAAAGAUUUCGGUGUCAGACCAAGGCAUGAGUGUCGACCGACGCCCUUUGGUGUCGCUCGACACCACACGAGACCCAACAAAAAGUCUCGACGGUUUGGAGUUUUUAAAGCCCGAAGAAUCAACCCAGACAACUUCCCUAUUUGCAACUUUAGUCCCUGCACAUUUUUGGAGACUUUAUAAAUAGUUUUUAGGGUUUUUCUAUUUCAUUAUCUUAGAUCUUGCUUUUUGCUUUUGGCUUUGUAAUUCUCUGAGCUUGAACCCUUUGGAAGAAAAUUGGAAAGAGCAACUUUUCAGAUAUUUCAAAACCCUGUAGAGAGAAUAUUUAUUCUAAACUCUUUUCUUCUUUUGAUUUCUUAUUUUACAAUUUAUUUAAACAUAUUUUCUGUUUCAUUAAUCAUGUCUGAGUAAUCACCCUGUUAGGUUUAGAGAUUCUCAUUAGGGAUUUAGAUGAAUUAGUAAAUCGAUUUUCUGUUAGGAUUAAUCUAUAGAGUUCUUCACCUUAGGUUGUUCUUAAUGCUAGUUCAAGAGUAGCUAACUAGAACUUGAUCAUAGGAUAAUAGGUUUUGAUCCGAGAGAGCGCCUGUUACUGGAACUAUCUUAGGUGGGUAAAGAUUUCUAGAUACAUUCGAGAGGAGGUCUAGGAAUAUUUGUGAACAUAUAUCAAACCUGUUUUUAAUGCUAGUUUAGAUCUAGGAGUUCGCAUUCGAGAGGGUGGAAUUACCUGAUAUUAGACUAGUUAGUCAAUGUAUCUGAGAGGAGGUUGGCUAUACAUUUGUGUUUUGAGUUCUAGAACGGUUCGAUAAUAAUCCUAAUUAAUUUGCUAGAUUUACUAUUAGUUUAUUUUCUGAGAAUAUCCCUAAAUCUGACGCUUUAAUCCAUUUGAAUUUUCACCUGAUUUAAUUGCUUGUUUUUAUUUGAAUUUGCUUAAUAUUCUAUUUAGCCUAAUUUCGAAAUUGUUAGCUUACUGUGUGAACAAAAGAACUUUGUGGAAUUCGACCCUAAAGUGCUGCAAUUGUUCUCUUAUUUGAGAGAGUAGUCUAUAGGUCUAAUUUAACUCAUAUAUAUCAAAUUUGGCGCCGCUGCCGAAGUUCUUGGGAAUCACCAUUAAGUUUAGUUUAAAAAUUUUGUCUAAAUUUUACUUUUCUUUUGAUAGUUUCGCGUUUCUUUCUUUCCUUUUUUCUUGUGUUUCAGGUGCAUGCCUAACCGCAUAACUUGGAGCAGCAAAGAAAAAGACCUCGUCAAUUUGACUACACUUGAAUUGGCAUAGUUAGAACGCACCAACCGCAAAGCUCAAAAAUCAUCAACAAUGGUUCGUGGAGAAAUCAGAGCUAAUGAACUAGGGGUUUUGAGAGAUGACGAUGGACAAGCCUACAAUGAGGCUGGACAACGAUUGGACGAUCAUGGGAUUGUCAUGCCCGAGGAUCUGAUUGUGGAUGAUCCAAACAUCCGGAAUCCUGAUCCACCAAACGCUGUGGCUGAUCACGUCCUCGGUGUGGAACGACACCACCAGGGUGUAGCUCGACACCCCCUCCCAGCAGACGUGCAGAUCAAAGCUGGCCAGCAGGGCCGCCAACAGCCGCCUGUCACGGCAGAACAUCAGUUAACUCUUAGAGACUACAACAUGCCAGACCUGUUCUAUGCUAUUCGAUCAGCGAUCGUACCCCCCGCUUUUCAGAGAAACGACUUCGAGCUAAAACCCGCAUACUUUACUCUUGUAGGACAACAUCCUUUCCACAGCUUCUCUAAUGAACAGCCAAUGGACCACAUCGAGCGCUUUGAGGAUUUGGUAUCUAGCAUUAAGGCUAAUGGAGUUUCAGAUGACUAUCUUCUCUGCAAGCUCUUCCGAUACUCACUUGCUGGGGAAGCAGCUUCUUGGUUAAAGCAGUUGAAACCAGAAUCUUUGACUAGCUGGAGGAAGAUCAAGGUAGCCAUUUUGAACAACUUCUAUGAUGAUGGUAAGUCUGAGGAGCUGCGCAACAAGUUGUCUACAUUCACUUAAAGACCAGCAGAAGCAUUUAAAGUUGCUUGGGUCAGAUUCAAGAAGUACCAACAAGAUUGCCUGCAUCACGGUUUCAGUGAAGUUCAGCUCAUAGGUACAUUCUUCAAGGGAGUUGAUUAGAGAUAUCAGAUUGCUUUGGAUGCUGCAAGAAAUGGCAACUUGAACACCAGGUACCCCGACGAUGUUGUAGCUUUAAUUGAGAAUCUCGCAUGUAGCAAUAGCACGAAGAAUGCAGACUUCGAGAGGAAGAAGAUUGCAGGCGCGAUUAUAGGUACUCAGUAUGCAGAGGUUAAUGCCAAGUUGGAUUAAGGCCAUAGCCACCUCACGGGAAAGAAAGCUGUCUACUUUGGUGCCAAAGUUGAAACUACUGAGCCAGAAGAAGAGUAUGAAGAAGGAGUAUUCUACAUUGAUGGCCAAGGAUACAGGAAAUUCGGGCCUCCAUAGGGUAACUUCAGUGGUCAGAGAUUCACAGCGAAUCAGAACAACUCCGGUUUCAACAACAGGCCAGCGUUUCAGAAGACAUAUCCGCAAACUAGUAGCUUCCAAAGAACAUACGGGAAUACGACCUACCAGAACCCACCUGCACCCACUCCCGAGACUAAGAUGGAGACGAUGCUUGAGCAGAUUCUAGAGGGGUAGACAAAGCUUACGGUUGAGUUCAACGGGAAGUUUGAUGCCAUAUACUUUUAUUUGAAUGGCAAGAUUGACACUUUGAACACUCACAUGAAGAAGCUCGAUGUUCAAGUUGCUCAAACUACCGCCGAUGUUAAGAGACAAGAUGGUGUUCUUUCUGGUAUGCCUGAUGCUAACCCCAAAAGAGCCUGCAAUGCGAUACUGGUCCGAGAUGGAGAUGAUGUUUGGGACGAAUUGGACACUGACGAUGAGCAUGAGCUCGCUGCUGUAGAGACAGUGUCGACCGACACCCCCUGGUGUCGAUCGACACCCACUCGAUACCCAUGGAGAACAAUGUUCGACGAAUCGUUGUCGACCGAUACAGCUUUGCGAAGCUCGAUAGCAACCCUCAUUGUCGACCGACGCCACCAUGGUGUCGAUAGACACUAUCUCGACAACGAAGCAGUUUCGAUGUGUGACGGACAGAGAUCGACCAGGCACGACACAGAGGAGUCGCACCAUAUCAGAGUGUCGACCGACACUCACCUAGUGUUGAUCGACACUGGGUUCGCACAGCUCCUUAUGCCAUCAUCUUUCCACCUGCAAAGCCUGUCUACACGCCUCCAGUCCCUUUUCCUAAGAAGCUUCGCUCUAAGCAAGAGAUUCAGGAUGCACGCUGCAAGGCUAUCAUGGAGAAGAUCUUGACUACUAUUCCUAAAGUCAAUCCCGAGAGAUCUUCGCCUCCACUUGAGAGGUAUGUCAAGAGAUUGGUCAACAAUGGAAUCUGUGCUGAAGAGGCUGCGUUGCUCACAAAAGAUAUCAACUUGAUUGUGCUGCAAGAAGCCAAGAAAGAGAGGAAGAAGAAAGUGGUUGUGUCUGAACACAUUAGCUCGAUCAUUUAGAGUAGGAUGCCUGAAAAGCUACCUGAUCCAGGAAGCUUUUUUCUUGAUUGCUCCAUCUCUACAGGCCGGUUCAGUAAAUCUUUGUGUGAUCUUGGAUCCAUCAUCAAUCUGAUGCCACAUUGAGUUGUUGUGCGCCUUGGUAUGACUGCUUACAGGCCAACAUGGAUUACUUUGCUUCUCACGGAUUGUUCUAAGCGAAUUCUCGAAGGAAUCUUGGAAGAUGUUCCUGUACAGAUUGGUGAAUGUCUCAUACCUGCUGAUUUCGUAGUACUGGACUACGAUGAGGAACCCAAGGAUCCUCUUAUCUUGGGUAGAGCAUUCUUAGCCAUAGCUGGUGCAAAGAUUGAUGUGAAGAAGGGAGAGAUUUCGUUGAAUGUAUGUGAUGUGAAGAUGAAUUUCGACAUGAAAGGCUCAAGUACACCUCCAAUACUUAGUGGUAAGUCAUUCUCUAUUGAAUCUACACGGGAAUCUGCGGAGGAAUUGGAUUCUACUGCACCUACAGAAGCCGCUACUGCAACUCAGUAUCGUUCAGACGGACUAGUGUCGACCGACACCAACGACGAGCAGAGAAGCGGAUUUUGGCGAAAACUGUUGUUGGGACUGCAGACAAUGCCAAUUGUUCAGGAGCUGUUCCCGAUACAUACACGCCUUGAUCAGCAAAGGUAUUGCACAUCUCCUCCUCAUCCUUACCUUCUUCACUUAAUACUUCCAUAUCUUCGAAGAAGGCUUCACAGGUAAACGAGCCACGAGAUUCUCGAGUGAUUGUUUCUUCUGUUGUUGAUGCAGGAAACGGAACAACGGACGCUGCAGCUUCUACCAGUUUCCUUGGACAUGAGCACGCCUCCAACGCUUAUGCUCCACCAUGGAUGGCUAGGCGUCGGUCUUCUGAGAAGUCUUCAAACACUUUUUCCGCUCCACCUUGCUCCUGAAACCCGACAUAGUCAAGCUAAUGACUGAAAAUAAGCGCUUAGUGGGAGGCAAUCCACUGGUAUGUUUUUUUGUUUUUCUUUUAUUUUAUUGAUGUUUUUCUUUUUAUUUUAUUUUCGCUAACUCCGGAUUUGAAUGCCACUGGAACAGUGUCGUUUAAGUCUGGGAGCGGCAGUUACUAAUUAUGUUUUUUUUUUUGAGUCUUAUUUUUAUUUUUCUUUUUCUUUUGAGUCGUUUUAUUGAGUCAAAAUUUUGUUGGAAAUUUUGAUCUUUUUCUCUAGAUUAUUGCCUGGUUAGUUUAAUGCUGUAGAUUAAAAUCAAUCCGACUAAUGGAAAAUCCAAAGAGUUAAUCAAUAGACCAGAGGACAUCCACGUUUUCAACACAAUCCGCUAAAGCCUGAGCAAAGUUCAUGCUCUUCACCUCGUCAAUACGGUUAGUAUUUUCAGAACUUGACUCCUCGUUCAUACCUGAUAAAUGAGACCAAUGUGGAAAAAGAAUGGUAUUUCUCUCCAUUAUAUUAAAAAAAAAAACGAAAAAAAAAGAUUGAGAUGAUUUUCUUUUGGAGUAAAGAGAUAAGAAAAUUUCCCGUUAUCUCAUUAUUUUACUUCCAAAGGAAUGAUCACACAAAAGUUGGAUGCGAGGUUAGGAACAUUUCCGAUGAUACCAUUAUUCGUCUACACCUUUGUCAAAAAAAAAGAGAAUUAGUUUGGGGGAGGGAAAGAAUACCAAGGAAAUAUUGAAAUGGUUGAUUUAUCAUAGUAUAGUACGGGAAUGAGUCCAGAAGGUUCUUGAGUACUGAUUUUAUUGAUGAGAUUUAUGCGAUGAGGGCUAUAGGAUAUAGUUGUGGAAUUUGGUUUGGAAUUUGGAAUGUUGAGAAUGCUUGCAGAGAAUUACAUGGUGGUUAGGAUUUGAUGCGAUCUGCUAGGCAUUUGGAUUUGGUUUGAAUAAUAACGGUAAUAGGCUAGAGAAAUUGGGAGUUUCUGUGUUUUCAAACUUCUUACACAGGUUCGGUUUUUGUGUUUUGCUUGAGGGCAAGCAAGAGCUAAUUCUGGAGGAGUUGAUAUAUCACGGAUUUUACCGAUUUUAGCCGUGAUGUAUGUGUCAGUUGUUGAGUCUUUUUGUUGUUUCUAGAGUCUUUUUGAGUAUUUUCAGGUUUUUACAAGUUCGGGACAAAUCUGGAGAUAAGGAACUAUUCUGGAACUAAACCAGAGAUUUAGAGCUGAAGAAACGAUUUCGGUGUCAGACCAAGGCAUGAGUGUCGACCGACACCUUUUGGUGUCGCUCGACACCACACGAGGCCCAGCAAAAAGUCUCGACGGUUUGGAGUUUUUAAAGCCCGAAGAAUCAACCUAGAAGACUUCCCUAUUUGCAACUUUAGUCCCUGCACGUUUUUGGAGACUUUAUAAAUAGUUUUUAGGGUUUUUCUAAUUCAUUAUCUUAAAUCUUGCUUUUUGCUUUUGGCUUUGUAAUUCUCUGAGCUUAAACCCUUUGGAAGAGAAUUGAAGAGAGCAACUUUUCAGAUAUUUCAAAACCCUGUAGAGAGAAGAUUUAUUCUAAACUCUUUUCUUCUUUUGAUAUCUUAUUUUGCAAUUUAUUUAAACAUGUUUUCUGUUUCAUUAAUCAUGUCUGAGUAAUCACCCUGUUAGGUUUAGGGAUUGUCAUUAGGGAUUUAGAUGAAUCAGUAAAUCGAUUUUCUGUUAGGAUUAAUCUAUAGAGUUUUUCACCUUAGGUUGUUCUUAAUGCUAGUUCAAGAGUAGCUAACUAGAACUUGAUCAUACGAUAAUUGGUUUUGAUCCGAGAGGGUGCCUGUUACUGGAACUAUCUUAGGUGGGCAAAGAUUUCUAGAUACAUUCGAGAGGAGGUCUAGGAAUAUUUGUGAACAUAUCAAACCUGUUUUUAAUGCUAGUCUAGAUCUAGGAGUUCGCAUUCGAAAGGGUGGAAUUACCUGAUAUUAGACUAGUUAGUCAAUGUAUCCGAUAGGAGGUUGGCUAUACAUUAGUGUUUUGAGUUCUAGAACGGUUCGAUAAUAAUCCUAAUUAAUUUGCUAGAUUUACUAUUAUAUUAUUUCUUGAAAAUUUUCCUAAACCUGACGCGUUAAUUCAUUUGAAUUUUCACAUGAUUUAAUUGCUUGUUUUUAUUUGAAUUUGCUUAAUAUUCUAUUUAGCCUAAUUUUGAAACUGUUAACUUAUUGUGUGAACAAAAAAAUUUUAUAGAAUUCGACCCUAAAGUACUGUAAUUGAUCUCUUAUUUAAAAGAGUAGUCUAUAAAUCUAAUUUGACUCGUAUCAACAUGCAUGCUUUUCAAAGAAAUUCUUGUUUGUUAGUAUGCAAGUUAGACGGACGCAAAUACCAAACUUUGACAAACAAAUAUAGAAAUAUAUAUAUAUAUUUUUUUCUUCUUCUUUUUUUUGAUAAAAAGGGAGAAAGAAAUAGUUAUUGCGUAAAUAUAUGUUGUUGUUUUCAACUUUUCAAAUUAGUAAUGUUUUAUUUGUUACAAGCUCGAAAAAGAAAAAAAAACGAAAUUUAUUAGUUAGGUUAACAUACAUUUUUUUAUAGAUUGGAUAUUGAACAUACGGUUCAAACUUUAUAUAUUAAAAUUAAUAAACAAAGAGUUGUGUAUCUUUCUAAAACAAACAAAAUUUUAUGUAUUUUUCUUAAAAUUGAAAAACACUUGAUGUAUUUUUAAGGAAUUUUUUUUUUUUUUAAUUGUAUAGAAAUAAACAAACGACGAUGGGAAAAAUGUCGAAAAAUGCGCGAACUUUCAAAUUUGGGACGAAAAAAACAUGAACUUUCGAAAUGUCAUUUAAAUCAUAAAGUUUAGGUUGACUUUUUGACAAAAUAGUGAAGUUUAGUUUGACUUAGUCAUUUCGGGCAUGCCGUUAAAUUUCCGUUAACCAGAAGAUGAAGGUGUUAAAUUUCAGUUAGAACUCUCUGUUGAGUCUAAACGACGUCGUUUUGAAACUCUGAAACAACGUCGCUUCAUUAGAAAAUAAGAUGGAAACAAUGCAUUCAUGGAGAAUCGAACAGCUGACCUACUAGACUAUCGAGAGAUGGUCAACCAUUGCGCUACAAUAACAUUAUGAUAUUAUACCAAACAGAACAUAUAUAUAUUAACAAAUAAUUAUGUACAAUUAACUAAAACUAUAUACAAUUAGUUAACAAUAACAAAACUAGAAAAAAUUAUUACCAAACAGAUACAAAUAUUAAAUAUACUUAAAUAAAUAAAUAUUUUGAAAUUUCAAAUACUAAUUUUAUAUAUAAAGAUUUCUUCUUUAUUUGGAAAAUUAUUUUUUCCUAAAUUAUAAAAAACAAAACUGAAACUUAUAGAGUAUAGAAAAUUAAAUAUAUGACAUAAAACUUAUUCAAUCUUUCUAACAUAAAUAUAGGAUUAAAGAUUGUAUAAAUUAUAGGAUUAAAGAUUGUAUAUUAUGUGAGAAGGAUUGUAUAAAUUUUACAUUUAUGUGAGAAGGAUUGUAUAAAUUUUAUGUCAUAUAUUUAAUUUAAUAUAUUCUAUAAGUUUCAGUUUUGUUUUUUAUAAUUUAGGAAACAAUUUUUUUUAAAUAUAGAAGCAAAUUUUAUAUAUAAAAUUAAAUAUUUAAAAUUUCAAAAUAUAUAUUUAUGGUAAGUAUAUUUAAUAUUUAAAAUUGUACAUAGUUAUUUGUUAGUAUAUAUAUGUUCGGUUUGGUACAAUACCAAAAAAUUAUUGUAGCACAACGGUUGAGCGCCUCUCAUUAGUCCAGUAGGUCAGCUGUACGAUUCUCGGUGGAUGUUGUUUUUCCAUCUUAUUUUCUAAUAAAACGACGUCGUUUCAGAUUUUCAAAACGACGUCGUUUUGAUUCAACAAAGAGUUUUAACAAAAAUUUAACACCGUGAUCGUCUGGUUAACGGAAAUUUAACGGUAUGUCCGAAAUGGCCAAGUCAAACUAAACUUCACUAUUUUGUCAAAAAGUCAAUUUAAACUUUAUGAUUUAAAUGACAUUUUGAAAGUUCAUGUUUUUUUCGUCCCAAAUUUGAAAAUUCGCAUGGGUUAUAAUGAUUAAAUGCCAAAGGCUUGCAUGGGUUAUAAUGAUUAUUGGGAAAAUUGGAUAUAAAAAAUAAAUAAUUAAAUUAUUAUUCAUCUAUGCAUUCUAUAUUUAUAAUUGAUCAUAUAUGUUUUAAUAUUGGUUAUGCUUUAAUAUAAUUAAAAUCACAUUUUGUCCCUAGUUAUUUUAAAUCACAUUUGACAUCGGUGCAAGUUUCUUGUACUAUCCACGAGACCCCAAAAGCAAUUAAUGACCUUUGUAUUGUUCUUUCAGAGGCAAUAAUGUAAAUUAUAAAAAAAAAAUCCUAUUUUAUUUUAUUUUUACUAAACAAAAGAAAAACACUCUAACAAAAUCCUAUUUUAUUUUAUUUUUACUAAACAAAAGAAAAACACUCUAACAAAUAAACAAAUAAUCUGCCAUUGUCACAUGAGUCACAUCCAUUUGACUACACGAAAUGCACUCACUGUAGAUAAAUUUAAAUAAGGUGAAUAUCCCAUGCACCACUGUAUAUGGUACAAAAAGAGAGCCUUUCUUCCUCAUUUUACCACUCUUCUAAAACAUAUUUCUCGUCUUCUCUCAAGUUCUUCAAGAGAAAACAAAAAGAACUGCAAAGAGAAUUGGUGUGACUGAAAAUGGGAGUGGAAGGAACUAUGGAGUAUAUAUCGGACUUUUUGAAGAAGAGGAAGAGGAAGAAGAAGAAGCAACUGCAAACAGUAGCUCUCCGAGUUGCUCGUAUCGACUGCGAAGGUUGUGAACGUAAGAUCAAACAUAUCCUCUCCGGUGUCAAAGGUAUGUAUUUAGAUAUAUGUACGUAUGGUUUAACAUGAAAGCCGAAGGCGUAUCCACUUUAUGUAUAAUUAUAAAAAAAAAAAAAAAAUUAUAUAAGAAAUCAGUUUUAGGCAACCACCAUGAUCCAUUAAUGGUUAGAGAUUUGCCAUGUUGGUCGAAGCCACGGAUCGAAUUCAUUCCACUACUUUCCAUCUUAAUUGACAACAAAAUUUGGUAUUUUGUAUAUGCCCGGUCUAAAGCAUAGGCAAAGAAAAACAUUAAUAUUUCGGAUCCGACAUUUUUUAAAUGCCAACUUUUAGAAAAGUAAAGGUAAGAAUAACUCAAGCUAAAGGGUAUCACUUUUAAAUUUCGAGUGGACAUCUGGAAACAUUAGACCGGCCCCGGAUUGGUCUCAAUUACUUUGUGUUUGGCUCUUUGAUGUCAAAAACUUUGGUUUUCUUGAAUCUCAUCAUGAAAUAUGUGUUUUAGGUAUUUUUGAAUAUAUAUCACAUUUUGGACCAAUUUUAGUCAGACACUACGAUAGAACUCUGAUUAUCCGGUGCUAUUUACAAUUUAUAGACUCGUUGCACUUUAGAAAAUGUGACUCCUAAGAAAAAAAAAUAUGAAAAAUGGAUUUAAUUUUUUUUUGACUCAUUUGGACAGGGGUGAAGUCAGUGGACGUAGACGUGAAGCUGCAAAAGGUAACGGUAACGGGAUAUAUAGAGCCGAAGAAGGUUUUGGAGGCGGCCAAGUCAACGAAGAAGAAAGUGGAGUUAUGGCCUUACGUUCCUUACACAAUGGUGGCGAAUCCGUACAUAUCUCAGGCGUAUGACAAGAAGGCACCACCAAACAUGGUUCGGAAAGUCCCCGACACAACCUCUGUCAACGAGACCACCGUCGAUGACUCUUACACCAUUAUGUUUAGCGAUGAGAAUCCUAAUUCUUGCAUUAUCAUGUAGAAGAGUGUACAUUUUGUUAUGGAUUUUGGUAAUAGUAUACGUAAUUAAGAAUCGUUGUAAAAAAAAAAAAAAAAAAAAAAAGAAUCGUUUUGUCUGUAACGUGAGAAAAUCGAAAUGUCUUUUGAUACUUAAUGGAAAUUUGAUAUGCCUCAAUAUUAGUUGUUUUAACAUAUAUAAGUUUAAUACCAAAACAGACCAAUAUAAUACAUAUAUUGGUUUAUGUCAAUGUGUCACUAUCCGAAUUGAAAACUCCAUAACACACGUUGUUGACAAAAAAAAAUUAUCAAAAAUAAUUAUAUCUUUUAUCAAUUAUCUUAUAUUAGUUUCCGAUUCUACAACUUCAAUCAAUUAUCUUAUAUUAGUUUCCGAUUCUACAACUUCAAGUAUUCAUACAAUAUCUAAAAACAUGUUAAAUAGAUGGGAUUGGCUUGAGGAUCAUAGAUCAUAUAGAUUUCUAGUUAGUAAAUUGAUGUAGUAUUUCACCAUCUCCAAACUUAACAUACCUUUCAUAGUUGACAAGUUAUUAUUAGUAAUGGGCCUAACUCAACACCCAAAAGCUAGCUCAAGGGAGGAGGUUUGCCUCAUACUAUAUAUAUUGCCCAAGGAUUUUAUUUCUUUCCAAUGUGGGACUCUAACACACCCUCCUCACGCUCAGGACUGGACAUCUGAAGCGUGAAGUUUGUGGGACUGGAUAUUCACGGAUGGUAGCCCACUUUCGAGAAAGUUGAACCUGGCUUUGAUACCAUAUUAGUAAUGGGUCUAACUCAACACCCAAAAGCUAGCUCAAGAGAGGAGGUUUGCCUCAUACUAUAUAUAUAUUGUCCAAGGAUUUUAAUUUAUUUAUUUCCGAUGUGGGACUCUAACAGUUAUGUCAGUACUUAUUUAAUUUGAAUCAGAAUCAGAAUCAGAAGAUAAAUCGAAACUACUUGAAUGCAUUUUUGCACAUAUUAUACCUUCAAUUUUGAAAAGACACUGUAGAAUCGAAAAAAAUGAGGCAGAAGAAGAAGGAGCAUUGUCUCCGUUGAAGUCUGAGCUUGUUUGAUGACAAGGUGGGCCUGUGGUUGGGCCUGGGGAUGGGUUGAGUUGCAAUUGCAGUACUUUUUUCUUUUUUUUUAACGUAUAACAUGUUUGAUUUGUCUUCCAGUUGCAGUUUUAGUAAGGUGACUUUUCUCAAAUAACACAUUUUCAAAGAUUACUGUAUGUAACAAACAUGUUAAAUUAAAUUAAGCUACAUAAAAGCACUUUUUUUGCAGAAAAUUGUGGACAGAAAAAUCGCGAUAGCAGAAUCAAGUUUUAAGCCUAGCAUACAAACACAUGUUUUUAAUAAAAAGUUAUGGAACUCUGUGUUUUAAAAAAAAACAAAAUUAUAUAUAUUAGAUCGUGUUUUAGGGGAAAAACUGUGGAGUUGUAUUGUAUAUAAUUUUGGUCAAAUUAAAUGCAAAGCUGCGUUUUUUUUUGUCAACAAAUGCAAAACUGCGUUUUGGCAGAAAACUGUGUUUUGGCAAAAUAAUUGCAGUAUCAAAAUUUCAAUGGAAAUAGCGAGAAAAUAGCAUAAUUGUGUUUUGGAAAAAAAUAUUGUGGAUCUGUUUUAAUUCUUUUUUUUUUGGUUCGAAACGAUCACACAAAUUAUGAAGACGCAUACAUGUUUCAAAGGAUGAAGAACAUGUUGUUUUCUUAGAUGAUUUCUUGGCUGACAUGAAAUGUAUGAUCAAGAUUCAAUUCGGAGUUAGAUUUUCACUGAAUANNNNNNNNNNNNNNNNNNNNNNNNNNNNNNNNNNNNNNNNNNNNNNNNNNNNNNNNNNNNNNNNNNNNNNNNNNNNNNNNNNNNNNNNNNNNNNNNNNNNNNNNNNNNNNNNNNNNNNNNNNNNNNNNNNNNNNNNNNNNNNNNNNNNNNNNNNNNNNNNNNNNNNNNNNNNNNNNUUUAUUUUAGCGAGAUAUAGAUUUCGAAUUUUGUUUGCGGAGAGAUGUAUAGCCCAUCUGGUGUUAUACAAAUCUCUUUGUGUAAAAUUAGAUCAUUAGUCCAACCUUUUACCUAAAACAUUUAAAAUUUUCUUCGAUUUAAAGACAUUUUUGAGAGCAAACAUGCAAAGCUCCAUAAACUAAUAUUACUUGAGAUGAUCGCGUAGAGAUUGCGAACCAUAUAUGAUACAUGAUAGAUGCUUUUAAAUCCACGGGAACAGCUGAUAUCUAAACCUUUAGACCGCUCACUAAGAGGCAGCCCAAGAUAUCUUACCGACAAGCUUGCUUUCCUUAGGUUGAACUUUGUAUAUUUUCAUAAAAUACAUAUUUCGAAAAACAUAGUUUUUGUAUCAUUUACUUUUAUUAAAUUCCAAUUCCUAUAUCUUGGUGGGGAAUUAAAAAAAAAUAAAGGCGUCAUGCCAACACGUUGCAGCUUAGGAGACGAAACCAUAUAUGAACAUAACCCUUUACGAUGAAAAAAUAAAUACUAUAUUUAGUUCGUUAGAACAACAAUCAUGGUUUAUAUUAAAUAGGCUAAAUAAGUGUAUCGGAAGUCAUCAUAUUCGUUGGCACAUAUUCCUUCAUGGAUAAGAUCCCUUAAAUCAUUAACAAAUAGAAUCCAUUUAAUCAUACUUGGCUGCAAUCGUGACCGUCUGAAAGAUUGUAAUUUGAGGACGGCUAAAACAAAUAAAGCCUUGAAAAAACAAUAUAAAAAGAUCAAAAUAAAUUCGUAAUUCUCAAUAGGCAUUUUUCAAAAAAAAAAAAUUAUAAUAUGCCUUUUUCUACAUUUUUCUCCAAAAUAUGCCUUAUAUUCAUAAUAUAAUAUAGUUAGUUUACACAUGACUCCUUAUCAUUCUUACAACUUUUUCCAAGUUACUAGAAUCUGAAUUAUGGUACCAACAAAGUCUCUACAACUUUCUUUUCUUGAAAUCUAGUGAAAGAAUGUUGCUAUAGGUAUAUCAAAUGGCACAAAACUAGGUUCUUGAAACUCACAAAAAGUUGUUUGUAAAGUACUACAUAUUUUCAGUAUUUAAGUAGGUAUGAACAUGUAAAAAGAGUACCUUUGUAUGAUUGAUAACUAUCUUCCUUAAAAAUAUCAAAUUAAAUUACGAUAAUACAUAUAAUGUUUUUUUAUUACGGACAACUGUAUAUCGCUGUUAAAUUAUCUAGUUGUACCAGUUGAUAUAUAAAAAAGUUAGAUGAAAGUCUACUCACAGAACCGUAUGAUAUAUAUGAAAUUUGAUUCUGUAAAACUUGGCCAAAGCAAAAGGCUAAGGGCCAUAUUAAACAUCAAAAGAAUGAGUAUACUAAUACCACUCUUGAAGAAACCAUGAAGAAGACAAAGCCUUAAGGACUGAACUUGAACCUAGACAUUAUUAAGGCUAUAUGCAUUUUAUCCGACGUGGCGGCAUCUUUUCAGAUUCUGGGACCCACGUUUCACAACCUAAUUGGUCAAGAAUCUGUUGGUUAUACCGGGAAUACUGUAAUAAAUUGAUAAGUCAACCUCUAUUUUAUGUUGUGCACAUAAGUUGUUUUCAAGUAUAGUAAUACUAGGAACAUGUAUAGUUGCUAGAUAUUUCUAUAAUUUUAAAAUUUUAAAAUUUGUCCCAGAAAUAAAUAUUUAGGGAGAAACUUGGAAAAGACAAAAACAUGAAAGGACAAGAAGAUAUAUGUGUGACGUGAAUAUAUACAAUUUCACAUCUUUUCUAAUAAAUUGCAUACAAUAAUAUACUGUAUGUUACUAUAAUAAAUUGUUAAGUCAACCUCUAUUUUAGGUUGCCAAUGCACAUAAGUUGUUUUCAAGUAUAGUAAUACUAAGAAACAUGUAUAGUUGCUAGAUAUUUCAAAAAAUUUAAUUUAUUUUUAAAAGUUGUCUCAUAAAUAUAACUUUUUUAGGGAUGAACUUGGAAAACACGAAAACAUUGGAGGAUAAGAAGAUAUAUGUGUGACGAAUAUUGCAUACAAUUUCACACCUUUUCUAAUAAAUCUCAUACAAUAAUAUGUGUUACUAUAAUUAAUUGUUAAGUCAACCACUUUUUUGUAUGUUGCCAAAGGCACAUAAGUUGGUUUUAAGUAUAAAUAAAAGGUAAAAAGAUGAAUAGUUUUUUUUUUUGUCGUCUAGAUUUAUUAUUAAUUGCAAAUUAUGAGAACUGUUACAUAGACGAUUCUACAACUGACAAUUCCUUCCGACCCUUACUAGAUUCACGACAGACUACACUUCCUUCUUCGUAAUCUUGAUGAAUACCUUCAAUGAUCCACGACCUCGCUACACUUCCUUCUCUGCGUAGAAUCCUGGCGAACGGCUAUAAUUGUACAUCGCUGGAGAUCUCUUGCACACUUGCCUCCAUUAAUCUGCAAAUUUGUUAAUAAAUCGCAAUACCUGGGACUCGAACCCCAGACUUUUUGGUGUAGAAGCAUUAAUCAACCCUUGGUCAACCAAUGGGCCAAGGGGGCUUCCACAAAAAAAAAAAAAAAAAAAAAAAAAAAAAAAAAAAAAAAAAAAAAAAAAAAAAAAAAAAAAAAAAAAGAUGAAUA
RNAcentral lists this long non-coding RNA (37630 nucleotides) under Arabidopsis lyrata. Its description in RNAcentral is "long non-coding RNA (ALYR_LNC001394)". The stretch from base 3063 to 3177 matches the Rfam family "Small nucleolar RNA snoR9". Lineage: Eukaryota; Viridiplantae; Streptophyta; Magnoliopsida; Brassicales; Brassicaceae. The record is from RNAcentral.